This 459-nucleotide ribosomal RNA is filed under the name uncultured bacterium. Its description in RNAcentral is "partial 16S ribosomal RNA". It matches the Rfam family "Bacterial small subunit ribosomal RNA", at positions 338 to 795 of the family's 1533-position model. The record is from RNAcentral.
CCUACGGGUGGCAGCAGUGAGGAAUAUUGGUCAAUGGGCGCUAGCCUGAACCAGCCAAGUAGCGUGAAGGCUGACUGCCCUAUGGGUUGUAAACUUCUUUUUUAUGGGAAUCACGUGCAGUAUGUAUACUGCUUUGCAUGUACCUUAUGAAUAUGGCUCGGCUAACUCCGUGACAGCAGCCGCGGUAAUACGGAGAAUCCGAUCGUUAUCCGGAUUUAUUGGGUUUAAAGGGAGCGUAGGCGGGUUGUUAAGUCGGUUGUGAAAGUGUGCGGCUCAACCGUAAAAUUGCAGUUGAUACUGGCAUACUUAGUACAGUAGAGGUAGGCGGAAGUCGUGGUGUAGCGUGGAAAUGCUUAGAUAUCACGAAGAACUCCGAUUGCGAAGGCAGCCUGCUGGACUGUAACUGACGCUGAUGCUCGAAAGUGUGGGUAUCAAACAGGAUUAGAUACCCGAGUAGUC